This 364-nucleotide long non-coding RNA is filed under the name Mytilus galloprovincialis (Mediterranean mussel). Lineage: Eukaryota; Metazoa; Mollusca; Bivalvia; Mytilida; Mytilidae. The record is from RNAcentral.
AAAUUUUUUUUGAGGUUAAAAUAAUCAAAGUUAUUGAAAUAUUCUUCUAGAGUGGGUGCAAUGAAGAUAGAUAUCUUGCCAAGCGAAGUGUGGCUAGAAACAUUUGUGGUAAAAUGAGCGAGAAAUUAAAGUUUCAAUCUAAAACCGCAUAAUUUUAAUGACAAUCUACAUUAACCAUAAUGUGAAGAGUUGACAGAUAGACAGGCGGACCGACAGACGCAAAGUGAGACGAAGCAAAUGACGAUUUUUCAUCUGACCAAUAUAAGAUUUUGAAAACGAAAAUUAUAACUGGUACAAUUUAUUUGUCAAUUCAUAAUACGUGUUUUUAUUUUUGUUCUAUUUUCGGAGGUCGUGUUAGACUUUU